AAGUUCUACAUGGUACUGUGGGAGGAGUCCAAAGCUGUCGUUAGAACCUGUGUCUCUAAAGCCGUAGGAAGAAAAUGUCCAAGUACAUGAAGCAGAUGAUGAGAGCGGGUGAUGGGCAGAUGAUAGUAUUUCACUCUGGGAAAUCUUUACGUUCCUUCUCUCCCAUGGAUUGAAUCUAUAGCCUUUCAUGUUAGACUGUUCCUCCACCAGCCUACACUUCAGCCCCCAUGGGAACAACUGAAUGCUUGCUCAGAUCAGUAGCUCUCUAGGCGCCUUUGCUUUUAAGGGGAUUAUAGUUAAUAGUUAAUUUUUGUCAGGGAGCCUGAUUGGCUGUCAGUGACAUUCUGGACCUUGGUGGGAAUGGGAUUAAGUGCCUUUGGGUCAAAUUCCGGUGACUUAUCACACAUGAAGCCUGAGGAAAGGGGAGUUGGCUUGAUAACAGACACCACUUCCUCAGAAACCCAGUUAGAGUCUGGCUCUAACUGGCCCCAGCGCCCAGACAUGCAGUGUGGUUUCACUUCUGCAGCGGACUCAGACCCUUUGAGAAGUGACCCUUGCCACCUCCUGUCGUCAUUUCCAAGAGUCUCACGGUGUGUCGGAACAUUUAGCUGUUACUUUGGACCCCCUCUUUAGGGAAAAGAAAAUUGCUUACUGCUUGGCUGUUGAGAUGUGGCUGUCUCGUCAAAUUCCAUGAGCCUUGUGUUCCCCCACCAUCUUAUCUUCACGGGAUAGGACAAGCUCUCCUUUACAAACACUCCCAGGAACACAUUCUUUUCUUUCUUUCACUGUUCGGUAGUAUUGGGGAUGGAUGAGAGAAAGCCUUGCAUAUUCAACCUGCUGGUCAACCCAGAAUGCUCUGCUGCCUCACAACCUCCCUUAUGUGAAUCAGUCUCCUGGUUGCCACUGGGUAUACUAGGCUGGCUAGCCCACAGACCUCCAGGGGUUCUCCAGCCUUCAUGUUGUGCUAAGAGGACAGACAGAUGCUUCUACACCCUGCUGCAUGUGAGUUCUGGGGAUCUGAAGCCUGGUUCUCAUGCUUGCAGCAAGAGUUUUACACACUGAGCCAUUGCCAGCUCCCCAGCCCUCGGGAGGGUGGGGGGUUGGGUGGGGGGUGAUAUUUUCAGGUCAGGACCAUGGUGAGAAGUCAGCCUGAGAGAGUGAGUUCUUUGCUGUCAAGACUUGGCUUUAUCUUCCUAAUGUCAUGGCUUGGUUCUUAGCUGGCAAUAUCCUUGCACCUAGGUAGGUAUCCACUCACUGUCCAUGGGAACUUCCCAGCAUCCCACUUUCUUAAGAGAACAGGCCACAAAAACCACUUAUUUCCUUUAUUGAUGUUGCUAUUUUGUCUUUUUUAAAAAGUCAGCCCAAUUCAGAACACUUUUCUAGCUGUAUUUCAAAGGUCUGUACCUUGACUGAGGAUCUUUGUCUCAGGCAGCACCCCUGGAGAGGCAAUAAGACCCUCCACCCCCAGGUACCUGCUGCCCACAUCACAGUUGUUUUUCUUGUCUUCAUUUUCCUUCUUCUGAUAGCCGUAUUACAGAAGGCAUGAUUGAAUGAAUGAAUGACGUCCCGAGGUAUGUUUUGAGUUCUCUGAGAGAGGGUCUUGUCCAGUGCAACUGGUUAGUGUCAGAUGUCCAACUCCAAGUAGAAUCAGGAAGCCAGGUAUGUCCUGGAUGGCAUCCGGGUCAUUGCUCUGAGUGGCAGCAGGUAAAACCUACAAGGGAACCAACAUGUUACUGAGGGUCUUGCUAACCCCCUUUGAAGUAACUAAAGCCUCUUUGUGCCUUCCCUAAACGACCCUGCAUGUCUCUCCUCCAGGGCCUCCUGUGGUUCCUGGCUGAGGUGGUGUUGGGACUGUCUCCUUCAUUGCUUUGGUGUGGUUUACCACAGCCCCAGAGAUCUGUUUGGAUUCUGUUCUCUUAAACAUACAGUGCAAAUACUCUGCUGUGUAGCUUUGUGUGGCCCAGAACUACACAGAGCAGGCUAGCCUUGAACUCAGAUCUGUCUAUCUCUGCUUCCCCUGGGCUAGACUGCUAGUCUUUCUUAAAGCAAAGAUAAAAAUAAGAGAUAGACAAAUUGUAUUUUUAAAGUGCUUGCUGUUUAGUGAACUUUAAGAAGGGCUGGCUGUUCUUUAGGGGCAUUUAGACUCUGUCAUGAUUUUUGGCUUACAUUGGACCUUCCCUCGGGAACUUAGAAGACCCACAGAUAUGCCAAAGGAAGUGUGCUGGUGGGUUCAAGAAUUCUGGUUGUAUCUGUAUACCCAAGAAGGAGUUAAAUUCUUUAAAAUUACACUUAUCUAUGUGUAUAGGGGGUAGUGUGCGGGUUUGGAGGUUGAAGUAUAACUUUGGGGGUCAGUCCUCUCUUUCCACUAUGUAUGUGGGUUCCAUAGAUGAAACUCAGGUCUUCAGGAUCGGUGGUAAGCACCUGUACUAGGUGGUCCCCUGGCCCAAAGUGUUCUAUUUUACAAUAAGCUGACUUAGACAUGUCUUUCCCUCAUACUGGAUUACUUACUGAGCAUCAGUUAAAACUCCCAGUGAUCCCAAAUUUAAAACUUUAUUCAUCAUUGAAAUUCACAAUUUUAU
This 2579-nucleotide long non-coding RNA is filed under the name Mus musculus (house mouse). Its description in RNAcentral is "long non-coding RNA chr17:48417922-48420501". The record is from RNAcentral. Lineage: Eukaryota; Metazoa; Chordata; Mammalia; Rodentia; Muridae.